GAUGAAGAACGUAGCGAAAUGCGAUAAGUAAUGCGAAUUGCAGAAUUCAGUGAAUCAUCGAAUCUUUGAACGCAUAUUGCGCUCUUUGGUAUUCCGAAGAGCAUGCUUGUUUGAGUAUCAGUAAACACCUCAAAGCUUUUGGAUUUUUUAAUCGAAAAGCUUUGGACUUGAGCAAUCCCAACACCAAUCUUUUUGAGAUCGGUGGCGGGUUGCUUGAAAUGCAGGUGCAGCUGGACAUUCUCCUGAGCUAAAAGCAUAUUCAUUUAGUCCCGUCAAACGGAUUAUUACUUUUGCUGCAGCUAACAUAAAGGGAGUUUGACCGUAUUGGCUGACUGAUGCAGGAUUUCACAAGGGUCGGCAACGAUUCUUGUUAAACUCGAUCUCAAAUCAAGUAAGACUACCCGCUGAACUUAAGCAUAUCAAUAAGCGGAGGA
RNAcentral lists this unclassified non-coding RNA (434 nucleotides) under soil metagenome. RNAcentral describes it as "partial contains 5.8S ribosomal RNA, internal transcribed spacer 2, and large subunit ribosomal RNA". The stretch from base 1 to 120 matches the Rfam family "5.8S ribosomal RNA", at positions 35 to 154 of the family's 154-position model. The record is from RNAcentral.